AGCAGUAUGGUGUAAUGAUGCACAUGGGAUUUUCAUACAAUUUUGGCACAUUUAAUCUCGAGGUCCUUGUUCGAGUCAAGGUACUGCCU
Mycena leptocephala is the source of this 89-nucleotide non-coding RNA. NCBI's taxonomy places the organism in Eukaryota, Fungi, Basidiomycota, Agaricomycetes, Agaricales, Mycenaceae. The record is from the annotation of a GenBank genome assembly.